RNAcentral lists this ribosomal RNA (433 nucleotides) under uncultured bacterium. RNAcentral's name for it is "partial 16S ribosomal RNA". It matches the Rfam family "Bacterial small subunit ribosomal RNA", at positions 29 to 507 of the family's 1533-position model. The record is from RNAcentral.
AACGAACGCUGGCGGCAUGCCUAACACAUGCAAGUCGAACGAGACCUUCGGGUCUAGUGGCGCACGGGUGCGUAACGCGUGGGAACCUGCCCUUAGGUUCGGAAUAACUCCCCGAAAGGGGUGCUAAUACCGGAUAAUGUCUUCGGACCAAAGAUUUAUCGCCUUUGGAUGGGCCCGCGUUGGAUUAGCUAGUUGGUAGGGUAAAAGCCUACCAAGGCGACGAUCCAUAGCUGGUCUGAGAGGAUGAUCAGCCACACUGGGACUGGGACACGGCCCAGACUACUACGGGAGGCAGCAGUGGGGAAUAUUGGAAAAUGGGCGAAAGCAUGAUCCAGCAAUGCCGCGUGAGUGAUGAAGGCCUUAGGGUUGUAAAGCUCUUUUACCCGGGAUGAUAAUGACAGUACCGGGAGAAUAAGCUCCGGCUAACUCCGUG